GAGAGUAUAGCUCAAGUGGUAGAGUGCAUGUUUUACAUGGUGCUGGGUUCAAUUCCCAGUAUCUUCU
RNAcentral lists this transfer RNA (67 nucleotides) under Camelus bactrianus (Bactrian camel). It matches the Rfam family "tRNA". From Rfam's summary of the family: Transfer RNA (tRNA) molecules are approximately 80 nucleotides in length. Their secondary structure includes four short double-helical elements and three loops (D, anti-codon, and T loops). Lineage: Eukaryota; Metazoa; Chordata; Mammalia; Artiodactyla; Camelidae. The record is from Rfam by way of RNAcentral. RNAcentral also lists the same sequence under 2 other names.